CAGCAGCCCGCGGUAAUACGGAGGAUGCAAGCGUUAUCCGGAAUGAUUGGGCGUAAAGGGUCUGUAGGUGGUACUGAAAGUCUGCUGUUAAAGAGCAAGGCUCAACCUUGUAAAAGCAGUGGAAACUACAGAACUAGAGUGCGGUAGGGGCAAAAGGAAUUCCUGGUGUAGCGGUGAAAUGCGUAGAUAUCAGGAAGAACACCGGUGGCGAAAGCGUUUUGCUAGACCGCAACUGACACUGAGGGACGAAAGCUAGGGGAGCGAAUGGGAUUAGAUACCCCAGUAGUCCUAGCCGUAAACGAUGGAUACUAGGCGUGGCUUGUAUCGACCCGAGCCGUGCCGGAGCUAACGCGUUAAGUAUCCCGCCUGGGGAGUACGCACGCAAGUGUGAAACUCAAAGGAAUUGAC
RNAcentral lists this ribosomal RNA (408 nucleotides) under uncultured cyanobacterium. Its description in RNAcentral is "bacterial SSU rRNA". It matches the Rfam family "Bacterial small subunit ribosomal RNA", at positions 509 to 914 of the family's 1533-position model. Lineage: Bacteria; Bacillati; Cyanobacteriota. The record is from RNAcentral.